Cyanistes caeruleus (blue tit) is the source of this 401-nucleotide non-coding RNA. Lineage: Eukaryota; Metazoa; Chordata; Aves; Passeriformes; Paridae. The record is from RefSeq and is a predicted model, not a curated record.
GAGCACACCACUGCCGAGGGCAGUCAAGUACCCAGGACUUGGACUGUCUACUGUGAUGACUUUUGAGGGAGAACAGGGCUUUGUGCAAAGACCCUUACACUGCAAGAACCUCUGUGCUCCCCAAAUGACUCCAACAAGGAUGAGCAUAUUGCCAUGGCAACCAAAAUACAGAAGCUGGGAAAGAGACAGUGGAAGGGACACCCUCCAGCACCUCUGGGAGACUCUGCAGACCCUUCAUCACCAAGGCUUUGUCAGGAGGUUGGUAUGCCCUCAAAGGACUAAAAUCCAGGUUUGGGAUAUGGUUGGAGCAGCCCUGACCCUCCCCCUCCAGGACCAGCUGCCACUGCAUAUAUGCACAUCAGGAGAGAGGAAGUUAGUGGGGACACAUGGUGAAACUUCUG